This 749-nucleotide ribosomal RNA is filed under the name uncultured Prevotella sp. RNAcentral's name for it is "bacterial SSU rRNA". The stretch from base 1 to 507 matches the Rfam family "Bacterial small subunit ribosomal RNA", at positions 28 to 545 of the family's 1533-position model. Lineage: Bacteria; Pseudomonadati; Bacteroidota; Bacteroidia; Bacteroidales; Prevotellaceae. The record is from RNAcentral.
AUUGAACGCUGGCGGCAGGGUAACACAUGCAAGUCGAGCGGCGGAGGAAGUAGCUUGCUACUUUGCCGGCGAGCGGGGGACGGGUGAGUAAUGUCUGGGAAAACUGCCUGAUGGAGGGGGAAACUUACUGGAAACGGUAGCUAAUACCGCAUGACCUCUAAAAAAGCAAAGUGGGGGACCUUCGGACCUCACGCCUUCGAUAUGCCCAGAGAGGAUUGGCAUUAGGGGAGGAAAGUCUUACCUAGGGACAAUCUCUUGCUGGCUUAGAGGAUGAACCGACCCACGGAACUGUGAGACGGUCCCGACUCUUACGGGGGGAGCGGUGGGGGAUAUUGCGCAAUGGGCCACGCCUGAAGCGGCCAUCCCCCGCGUGUGAAGAAGGCCUUAGGGUGUAAGGACUUUCAGCGAGGGGAGGGCCCCAACUUAAAACGUGUGGGAUUGGGUUAUCCGCAGAAAAAACACAGCUAAAUCCGUGCCGCGGCGCGGUAUACGAGGGUCAAAGUUAUUGGAUUCUGGGGUAAAGGACGAGGGGAUUGUAAGUCGAGUGAAACCCCCGCUUACUGGGACUCAUUUGAACUGGAGUGAGUCUGUAGAGGGUGAAUCCGGGAGCGUAAACUAAGAUCUCGAGAAUCGUGUGAGGGCCCUGCAAGCUACUCAGACGAAGCUGUUGCAACGAUUGUCCUGUAUCCAUGCGAGUCGAAUUGCUGACCGGUUCCUAGUUAGCGCGAACGGGACUCAUCACUAAUAGA